This 495-nucleotide ribosomal RNA is filed under the name uncultured bacterium. Its description in RNAcentral is "partial 16S ribosomal RNA". It matches the Rfam family "Bacterial small subunit ribosomal RNA", at positions 28 to 507 of the family's 1533-position model. The record is from RNAcentral.
GACGAACGCUGGCGGCGUGCCUAAUACAUGCAAGUAGAACGCUGAAGGAGGAGCUUGCUUCUCUGGAUGAGUUGCGAACGGGUGAGUAACGCGUAGGUAGCCUGCCUGGUAGCGGGGGAUAACUAUUGGAAACGAUAGCUAAUACCGCAUAAUAGUAGAUGUUGCAUGACAUUUGCUUAAAAGGUGCAAUUGCAUCACUACCAGAUGGACCUGCGUUGUAUUAGCUAGUUGGUGGGGUAACGGCUCACCAAGGCGACGAUACAUAGCCGACCUGAGAGGGUGAUCGGCCACACUGGGACUGAGACACGGCCCAGACUCCUGCGGGAGGCAGCAGUAGGGAAUCUUCGGCAAUGGACGGAAGUCUGACUGAGCAACGCCGCGUGAGUGAAGAAGGUUUUCGGAUCGUAAAGCUCUGUUGUAAGAGAAGAACGAGUGUGAGAGUGGAAAGUUCACACUGUGACGGUAUCUUACCAGAAAGGGACGGCUAACUACGUG